Oryza meridionalis is the source of this 197-nucleotide non-coding RNA. The record is from Rfam. NCBI's taxonomy places the organism in Eukaryota, Viridiplantae, Streptophyta, Magnoliopsida, Poales, Poaceae.
UAUAAGUACAGUUGUGAGUUUCCGUGUCUGGUAUUUGAUCAUCCAUCUUAUUGAAUGAUUCAUAUUUUUAUUGUUAUUAGAUGAUAAAAUAUGAAUAGCAUUUUAUGUGUGAAUAAUUUUUUUUAAUUUUUUCAUAAAUGUUUCAAAUAAGACGAACGGUUAAACAUUGGACACAGAAACCCACAACUGCACUUAUA